CCUACGGGAGGCAGCAGUGAGGAAUAUUGGUCAAUGGACGAGAGUCUGAACCAGCCAAGUAGCGUGAAGGAUGACUGCCCUAUGGUUUGUAAACUUCUUUUAUAUGGGAAUAAAACGUUCCACGUGUGGGAUUUUGUAUGUACCAUAUGAAUAAGGAUCGGCUAACUCCGUGCCAGCAGCCGCGGUAAUACGGAGGAUCCGAGCGUUAUCCGGAUUUAUUGGGUUUAAAGGGAGCGUAGGUGGAUUGUUAAGUCAGUUGUGAAAGUUUGCGGCUCAACCGUAAAAUUGCAGUUGAAACUGGCAGUCUUGAGUACAGUAGAGGUGGGCGGAAUUCGUGGUGUAGCGGUGAAAUGCUUAGAUAUCACGAAGAACUCCGAUUGCGAAGGCAGUUCACUGGACUGCAACUGACACUGAGGCUCGAAAGUGUGGGUAUCAAACAGGAUUAGAUACCCUUGUAGUC
This 460-nucleotide ribosomal RNA is filed under the name uncultured bacterium. RNAcentral describes it as "partial 16S ribosomal RNA". It matches the Rfam family "Bacterial small subunit ribosomal RNA", at positions 338 to 795 of the family's 1533-position model. The record is from RNAcentral.